UUGAAUAUUUGCCUAGUGGCGGAUGGGUGAGUAACGCGUGGGCAACCUACCCUGUACAGGGGGAUAACAAUGGGAAACCAUUGCUAAUACCCCAUAAUACCUUUUAAGGGCAUCCUUGAAAGGUCAAAGAAUUUCGGUAUAGGAUGGGCCCGCGUCUGAUUAGCUAGUUGGUGGGGUAAUGGCCUACCAAAGCAACGAUCAGUAGCCGGCCUGAGAGGGUGAACGGCCACACUGGAACUGAGACACGGUCCACACUCCUACGGGAGGCAGCAGUGGGGAAUAUUGCACAAUGGGGGAAACCCUGAUGCAGCAACGCCGCGUGAGCGAUGAAGGCUUUCGAUUGGUAAAGUUCUUUCUUAAGGGAAGAUAAUGACGGUACCUUAGGAGGAAGCCCCGGCUAACUACGUGCCAGCAGCCGCGGUAAUACGUAGGGGGCAAGCGUUAUCCGGAAUUAUUGGGCGUAAAGGGUGCGUAGGCGGCCUUAUGGGUCAGAGGUUAAAUACUACGGCUUAACCGUAGUAUGCCUUUGAAACUAUAGGGCUUGAGUGCAGGAGAGGAGAGUGGAAUUCCUAGUGUAGCGGUGAAAUGCGUAGAUAUUAGGAGGAAUACCAGUGGCGAAGGCGACCCUCUGGACUGCAACUGACGCUAAGGCACGAAAGCGUGGGUAGCGAACAGGAUUAGAUACCCUGGUAGUCCACGCUGUAAACGAUGAGUGCUAGGUGUUGGGGGUCAAACCUCGGUGCCGCAGUUAACGCAUUAAGCACUCCGCCUGGGGAGUACGUUCGCAAGAAUAAAACUCAAAGGAAUUGACGGGGACCCGCACAAGCAGCGGAGCAUGUGGUUUAAUUCGAAGCAACGCGAAGAACCUUACCUGGAUUUGACAUCCCUCUGACCGUCUCUUAAUCGAGAUUUUCCCUUCGGGGACAGAGGAGACAGGUGGUGCAUGGUUGUCGUCAGCUCGUGUCGUGAGAUGUUGGGUUAAGUCCCGCAACGAGCGCAACCCUUGUCUUUAGUUGCCAUCAAGUAAAGUUGGGCACUCUAAAGAGACUGCCAAGGUAAACUUGGAGGAAGGUGGGGAUGACGUCAAAUCAUCAUGCCCUUUAUGUCCAGGGCUACACACGUGCUACAAUGGCCGAUACAACGGGCAGCUAAGGAGCAAUCCGGAGCAAAUCCUACAAAAUCGGUCCCAGUUCGGAUUGUGGGCUGAAAUUCGCCCACAUGAAGUCGGAGUUGCUAGUAAUCGCGAAUCAGCAUGUCGCGGUGAAUGCGUUCCCGGGUCUUGUACUCACCGCCCGUCA
RNAcentral lists this ribosomal RNA (1298 nucleotides) under uncultured bacterium. RNAcentral's name for it is "bacterial SSU rRNA". It matches the Rfam family "Bacterial small subunit ribosomal RNA", at positions 80 to 1399 of the family's 1533-position model. The record is from RNAcentral.